Molecule: RNA transcript, 3091 nt
Organism: Dermochelys coriacea (leatherback sea turtle)
Lineage: Eukaryota; Metazoa; Chordata; Testudines; Dermochelyidae
Gene: CYSLTR2
Gene name: cysteinyl leukotriene receptor 2
Exons: 4
Source: RefSeq, a predicted model, not a curated record
AGAAUCCCUGGAUUCUGCCAGAAGAGAAGGCAGGAGUGUGUUCUCCUACCUGCCUAAGAAAAAGAGAUAUGAAAGCCUCUCUGAGGAAAAGGGGGCAAGGACUAUAAAACUCAGUUUGGGACUGAUGACCUGAUAUAGGGUCACUGAUCUUUUGCCCUGUGGGAUUAUUCUUUAUUACCUGAGGAAGGGUGAGAUUAUAAAUGACCUGGCUGGCGUUGUGAGAAGAAGCUGACUGUCACAGGGACAGACUGCUGGCUGGUGAGGGAAACUGAGGUGGAGUCAUUGCAACACCAUGCCUGGCCAUGAGAGGACAUGUUGGCAGCAAGCUGCAAGUUUUGGAUAGCUAAAAGCAGAAGGAAGUGUCUUACUGAAUUAACUGAAAGGAACAAGAACUGAGGGUUUUCCUGUAGCCUGUAACAUGUUGACUGGCUGAGAGUACACUGGUACAAUUUAGCCACUUACCCAUCAUGACUGAGGGUUUGUUCAUGGCUGUGUCUCCAAGCAGAGAGAGCAGACUGGUUCCCUUUGCAUCAGUGGCUUUUUGGGAGGAUUCCCCAGCACAGCAGGUUACAGGUACUCUUUUUCUCUGAGCCCUAUACCUGUGGUGGCUCUACUGCUGUAUGAUGGAGUAAUUAUUGAUUGCACGUCACCCCCAGAAAGCCAGGCUGCCUUUCCCUGUCCCCCCUGAUUUGUAAGAUGAAAGAGGGACUGUAUGCAGCAGUUUUCUGUCCCCAUAAAGAGAGAGGAUUUUUUUCUGAUCCUGCUGAGCAGUCUGAGAGUUGUUAGUGGAUCUGGGAGAUGUCCGCUUAUAGUUUGCAAAGCCGUGUCUUCCAUUGAACACUUCAGGGUGUGAAAAAGAAAGCAAUCUUUCAGAAGUGGUAUGCAGCAUGAAGAGCUGCAGAUGGUGGUAGGGGAACCAGAAAACCACACUUUGCCUGUGGCAGACAACUCUGAAGAGGACUAUUUCCAUGGGGCACAGUCAACCACUCUGGGUGCAGGAGGAGAUAGUGAGGAGGAGAAUGGUGCAUCUCCAGUUAGUCCAGCACCACAUGAGGCUAAGCCUCAGCUGCAGGGCACUGGCCAGAGACCAUCAGCAUCCUCUGAAACCUUGUCCACUAUGCUGCUUCUGGAAUGGAUGUGGUUGAUGCUGGUACUCACACUCCCAGGUGGGAGGAAAGUCACUGCCUCUAUCUCUGCUGAGCAUGGUUUUGAUGGGAACUCUAAGGGGAAGGCGGUGCUCCCACGCUGCAUUUCUCUCAGCAGCAAAAGUCACCGCCAUCUACAAUCCUCUACCCCCGUGCCCCCUGACAGCACCGGUGUCAUUUGCUAACUCCUGAAAAUGGAGGAUGAGUCUGGGUAUGACCCCAAAAGGAUGGGGAUAUCAGGGACGGUUAAAAUCCAUCAAGAACAAUCACAGAGUGCACAUGAUGGAACCAGUUAGCCCAGAGCUUACAGAAAAGCAAACAGCAACUCCAGAGCAGAGGCUGACUGUGACACCACCAAUGUUUUCCAUGACUUUGUCAGCCAAGUCCAGCAGCAGAUUGUAUUCACAGGGGGCAAAAACAUGAAUGCAACCGCCCUGUGACUGUGAAACCUGACCACAGUGAGCAAGGAUGCUGGCUGUGGACAUUCUUCCUUUCUCCCACGUGGAGGGAGACGGCUUCAGACACUUUGUGGCUGCAGCUGCCCCCAGGUGGCAGAUCCCUAGCUGCACUUCCUGGCAUAAAAGGAAGUGCCAGAUCUGUGUGCUGCUAUGAAAAGUACAGAAUGGUGUAGCCUAGGUGGGCAAGUGCAGCAGAACACUGACAUAUGGACCAGUAGUCAGACAACUUCCUAAAUGGCUGUUAUGGCCCACUGGGUGAGCAGCAGUAGCAGGAAGACAAACAGCAGCACUGGCACAUGUACCCUCACUCGACAGCAUGCCAUGCUUUGGAUGUCUGGAUUUGAAAAACAGCACACCUUCUGGAACAUCUUGGAUGCACUGUGCUGUCAUGGGCGGCGUGUGAACUGCUGGUUCGGGGAGGCGAGCCCCACCCCUUCCCCUUCUGCAUCCCCCAGUGCAAACCCCCCAGCUUUUGGCUCCCUCCCCAUGUUAGUAUCCCCAGUCCCCAAACGCCGGGAGGGCAGGUGGCGUGGCCCCAGCCCGAGCCAGGGCCACAGCACAGGGGGGAAGAGCCACGGAGUGGGAAGCAGCUGGAAAAGACACUGGAGGUGGAGCAUAGGCGGGGCCACAGUUGGUUGUUUGGGGAGGCUCAGCCUCCCCCAGACUAUGAUCCCGCUGCCCAUGUGUGCUCUCAUAGAGGGGUGGCUAAGGCCCCUCCAGCUUCUUUGCUGUGACUGUGGCAAUGAACUACGGAGUAAAUUAUGUGGUGUAGGAUGGUGACUUCCAGCAUGUCCCUUGCCUCACUUGUUGCUUCAAUCUGAUAGAGGGAAUUUCUGGAGGAGGGAUGCAGAGUUGCAGGCACUCUCUCAGUGGCUAGUAAGCUAUGUGGUCACUUCAGACAGUCCUCUGAAGUACGCCACAACCUUUAAAGACUAGCAGGAGUCACUAAAACUGUCAUCCCCCCAGUUGGAACACUCCCUUUUACAUGCUGGAACAGUUCUACGGGCAGCCUGCAAGCAUUCUGCGUCCAUAAAGUUGAGGCAAGGGUAACCCACACACCUCCUGGGUGUGGUGCUCUGUCCCCUCUAAAGGCACUGAGACCACUUAGAGAUGAAUGAACCUGCUACAGUCUUAGCUAAGGGCCAUGUGGCUUUUAGCUCAUGCAGUAGAGGCUCAUGUAUUUAGCUCAGAAGUCCCAGUUUCAAUCCCAACAACCGGGGUCUGUCAGUGUUACACAAGCACAGACACACACUUAUCUCCAUUUGUCACCAUCCUACUGGCUGCUCAGGAAGAAGCUAGCUGACAUCCUAUGGCACACUGACAUCACAACUAGUUAGUGAGGAUGACACAAGAAUCAGCCAAGUAAUUCCCUCGCUGUGUCUGCUGUGGGGAGAGAACUGAGAUGCACACAGAUCUACUUCCAGGAAUGGGACGACAUCACUGGUGAAUCACCAGUGCAGGUCAUGCUGACUACUCUUCUAGGAAAUU